RNAcentral lists this ribosomal RNA (416 nucleotides) under Bacillota bacterium. RNAcentral describes it as "Firmicutes bacterium partial 16S ribosomal RNA". It matches the Rfam family "Bacterial small subunit ribosomal RNA", at positions 355 to 776 of the family's 1533-position model. The record is from RNAcentral. Lineage: Bacteria; Bacillati; Bacillota.
UGGGGAAUAUUGCACAAUGGGCGCAAGCCUGAUGCAGCGACGCCGCGUGGGGGAUGAAGGCCUUCGGGUUGUAAACUCCUUUCGCUUGGGACGAAGCCCACUUGUGGGUGACGGUACCUUGAGAAGAAGCACCGGCUAACUACGUGCCAGCAGCCGCGGUAAUACGUAGGGUGCGAGCGUUGUCCGGAAUUACUGGGCGUAAAGAGCUCGUAGGUGGUUUGUCGCGUCGUCUGUGAAAUCCCGGGGCUUAACUUCGGGCGUGCAGGCGAUACGGGCAUAACUUGAGUGCUGUAGGGGAGACUGGAAUUCCUGGUGUAGCGGUGAAAUGCGCAGAUAUCAGGAGGAACACCGAUGGCGAAGGCAGGUCUCUGGGCAGUAACUGACGCUGAGGAGCGAAAGCAUGGGUAGCGAACAGG